Engraulis encrasicolus (European anchovy) is the source of this 2926-nucleotide long non-coding RNA. RefSeq lists it as uncharacterized. NCBI's taxonomy places the organism in Eukaryota, Metazoa, Chordata, Actinopteri, Clupeiformes, Engraulidae. The transcript has 3 exons. The record is from RefSeq and is a predicted model, not a curated record.
AAAGAGGAAUAUGUGGAUGAGUUUUGCACCUUAAACUGCCUCAUACCUCAAGCCACAGCAUUUGCGGCUCCCCCAUGCCCCCCUCCCAUCCCCUUCUUAGGAGAGCCUUUAAUAUGUAAAUGCCAGUGAUCAGGUCGGGAGCUGCUACAGUCAAUUUCAAGUGGGGUGGGGUGGGGUGAGGUCAGGUGGGUGGGAGGGAGUGGGGGGUCGGCAGGCCUGUUUCUAGGAUUUUGGGGUCCCUAGGCAACGGGAUUGUUGGGGGCCCUAGGGCAUUUUUUGGCCUUUUACUAAAAUGUGUGUGUGUGUGUCUGUGUGUAUGUUUGUUCACGCUGCCCAGUGGUGUUUUUCAGAAUCACUAACCAUUAAACCAGGGGUAGUGAACCUAUGUCUCGAGGGCCCUUGAGGCCGUUUUAUCCGGCCCCUGAUAUCAUUAUAAUGUUUUGCAACUUCACAUGAAAUAGGCCUAUGACAUAUUUUGCAGGCCUAAAGGAAUCUUAGAAUUUACAUUUCCAAUGCAAUUAAGUUAGGCCUAUAUUCAGGGGACCUAGAAAAGGUGGGGACUGUUUUAAAUGUGUCUACCUUUAAAGGUGUCUAUAUGUCUAUAUAGGCCUAAUGGUGUCUAUAUAUGCCUAAAUUUCAUGGGGAAAUCCUGAUUUGUGUUCAUAGUACGGCCCCCGGAGGAUUUUAUGACCAUGGUAGGAAUUUGAAGUGGCCCUUCGAAUGAAAAAGGUUCCCCACCCCUGCAUUAAACCUUUCUUCUAGCCACAGCUCUGCUGUCAGUACAUUUUAUUAUGAUACUAUAAGCUCAGAAAUGAAGUUGAUCAAACAAUUCGGUGCUAACAUUUAAAUGAACCGAAUAGAAAUCAGAAUAGAAACAUCUGAAUGAUCUUUCUUGGACAUAGCCUACAUUUUGAAGUGACCCUUUGAAUUAAAAAGGUUCCUCACCCCUGCUUUUGAGGAAAAACAUCAAUGUGCUUGGCCACUCUGGUUUUUAAAUUAUUCUGAACUAGCAAGGAUUGUUCAAGGAAGUUCAAAACAGACUGUCUCUGGUUAAAUUAGUUCUACACCAAGCCUUUAGGUGGCAGUACAACUAAUUCGCACAAUGCGAAUUCCACACACAAGCCACAAAGAAGCCAUCUACCGCGGUCAACAACACCGACCUAUCUGAACAACACCACGCGCUGUCUGUGUGGUUUCACUGUUACAAGUUUCUUGGCGAUAUGGGGGAAAGUUCCUCACAUACCAACGGAAAAUGGGCUUCACAUACAUGCUGCUGUCUCAUAAUAUGGCGAAGACGAGUCACUUGAAGGCCUAACAGCUCUUAUGAGGAGCAGUCUUGCCAUAGAAGACUGAAAGAAUGUAAGAUUAACUUCUUUGUGACCAAUAUGACUUGCUCAUUGAUACAUUAGCUAUGUCAAUAUGAGAUGCAUGGCGAAGUAUUUAAUUUAUUUGUCUCUCUUCUAGGAGCUGUAGAAACAACAGGGUGCCUGCUGCAGUAUGACGAGGACGCCCUGAUCAUAGAAGGUCCAGUGUCUUGGCAGGGUGAAAUGGCACUGAUAUCGGUAUGUGGUGAUAUCAGUUAAAAUUAAUGAAUUAAUUCUCAUAUCUGAAUAAUGUGAACACUGGAUUUACCACACACUCACACACACCCUAGUCCUAGAUGAUACAACCAAGGUUACUUUUACCACAGCUCUGGCACUGCAUCAAAUUUCUUUUCUUUUUUAUAGAACUGGACAGGUCAUUUAUUCGUUCCCCUUGUUUUUUGCAGUGUCCUGCAGGAUGCUGUGUCCUGCAAUCCUGUGUGCUGUGCUACAGACGCGUGUGGAGGUCAACCCGAAAUGGGCACAGUAGAGUGAAAGAGGAUCCUGGCAGGGAGACGGUAGUGUCCUGCAGGAUGGUGAUGGGCAAUCUUACAAGAGACCACAGAAAACUGAUAUAGUGUAAGAUUAUCCCUGUUGGGCUCAAUAUGUCUUGCUUAUUGAUAUAUUUGCUAUGUCAAUAUGAGGUGCAUGACGAAGUAUUUAUUUAUUUGUUAUUUCUACAGCUCCCAGAAGUGAGACUGAGUGCCUGUUGCAGUAUGACGAGGAAGCAGUGACCAGAGACCUUCAGUAGACCCUGCUGGCAUGAUUGGCGGCUGAAGAACAUAAUCAACAGCAAUGUUUACUUUAUAAUAUUGUACAUACCUGUAUAGUCUGCACUAAAAUGCUGUACCUGUACUAUUUUUCCUCUUACUUUCAUAUUUACCACGUAUUUACUAUGAAUUGACAACUUUUACUCAAAUCCAUUUUUGUAUGUGCCCUGACUAAAACUAUCCUUAAACCUAACCUGUCAGAGGUGUAAUAACAACCUGCUCUUAGCAAUGUGGCAGCAGUCUACUUGGAUGCAGCGGGGAACAUAGAACCCUUUUUUUGAAAAAGCAUUGUAUGUUUCUGAGUUUUAUGAAUUGUGCCCUUCCCAAACCUAACCUGUCGUAGGGGCCUAUGAAAUCCGUUUUAUUUUUCCUCAUUCAGUUUUUUUCUGAUUUAUUUUUUGCCAAAUUGGUUUUUUUUUUUUUACAUCUUAUUUUCCCCUUUCAUCCCCCCCCCAAAAAAAAUAAAAAAUAAAAAAUAAAUUCUUAGUUAUUUAGUUCAAACUGGUGUGUGGACAGAGCCAACCACUCAUGGUUGAAUGGUAGGUAGAGAAAAGAAAAGUAAAAUUACCUACUAGCUUUUUGUAAUAUCAGCCCUCAAAAAUAUUCCAGGUAAUAAGGUAGCUGUAUUGUAAUUGUACAUGCGCAUAUAUUCUAUUAAAUACACGUGACGCACACACCCAACUAGAAGGCGAAUUCACUUCUGGUGCAUUGAAGUUGUUGGACUCUGGCUGCAUCAGGUUUUCUCGAAUACUUGGCUAUAUUGCAACGUGCAGCUUAGAGACAUUUUGGGUCACG